Molecule: long non-coding RNA, 2231 nt
Organism: Bubalus bubalis (water buffalo)
Lineage: Eukaryota; Metazoa; Chordata; Mammalia; Artiodactyla; Bovidae
Exons: 4
Source: RefSeq, a predicted model, not a curated record
GCUGUACCACAUGGCAAUGGGGUCUUAGUUCCAGAACCAAGGAUUGGACCUGUGCCCCCUGCAGUGGAAGCACAGGUUCUUAAACGCUGAACCACUGGGAAAUUCCCAGACGUUUGUUUUUCAAAGGCCUACCAGGAGGAAGCAUGAACGUAGUUUCUCCCUACUACAAAUUAUGCAGCCGAGUUCCCCACGUUUGGGGAAAUGGCAGGGGUCAGCACACCUGGAGUGCAAUGGAUGAGCCUUGCCCUGGGAAAACCACCUUUGUGAUCAUGGUAUCUCCCCUGCUGGGUGGAUUCUUUACCGGUUGAGUCACCAGGGAAACCCAAGAAUACUGAAGUGGAUUCUUUACCAGCUGAGCUACCAGAGAAGCCCAACUAUGGUAAUAGUCUAUUGUAUAUUUGAAGUUUGUUAAGAGAAUAAAUCUUAAAAGUUUUCACAAGGAAAAAAAUGUUGUAUUAAUAUAUGGUGAUGGAUGUCAACUAGACCUACUGUCCAGGGGUGGUCACUUUGCAAUAUACAGAAAUAUCUGAUCACUGUGUUGUAUACCAGCCACUAAUAUAAUGUUAUAUGCCAAUUCUAUCUAAAAAGUCAACAGAAUAAAAAGAAGAUACAUGUAUAACUGAAUCAUUUUGCUGUAUACCUGAAACUAACACAAAAUUGUCAAUCAACUAUGGUCCAACAUAAAAUGAAAAAUUUAAAAAGUCAACAGAAUAUUUUCUGCUACUACUGUGAAAGUAAUGUGCCCUUUUUUAUUCAUCUUAAGAUUUUUUUCCUUGUCUUUGAUGUUUAACAGUUUGAUAUGCUGUGCCUAUGUAUAUUUUUGUUUCUAUUCAUUCUGCUUGGGAUUCAUAGAAUGUCAAGUCUACAGCUUUUUCUGUCUUGUCAGCUUUGGAAUUUUUUAAAAGUUAUCUCUUAAAGAAAAUAUUGCUCUUAUACUUUCUCACAUCUCUCCAUAUUGUGUAAACAUUUUACGUUUUUGUUGUGUACCAUAUGACUAUUUUUUAAUCUGAAUUUUCACUCUUUUUCUCUGCUGCUGCUGCUGCUAAGUAGCUUCAGUCGUGUCCGACUCUGUGCAACCCCAGAGACAGCAGCCCACCAGGCUCCCUCGUCCCUAGGAUUCUCCAGGCAAGAACACUGGAGUGGGUUGCAAUUUCCUUCUCCAGAAAAAUUUUAUAAACAACUUUUUCUCUAUGUAUGCUUAAAUCUAAAUAUUGAUUUUUAUCAGCCUUUUUUUAUUACACUUAUUUUUAAUUGCGAUGUCUUAUUUUCAUUACAUUUAUUUUAUCUACUUAUGUAAAAUGACUUUCCAUUUAUAGUAGCGGUAUAUAAAAAGUUUUAUAUAAACAAGAUGAUUUAAAAAUAUCAAGUUAUUACAGUAAGUACAAAAAAAUCUUGAAUAAUUAACCUUUGAAAAUCACUGCAGUAAAGCCAAAGCAACAGUAAAUGGUUAUAAUUAAGAGACUUGGCUCUUAAAAAGAAAAGCCUCACCAAUAUCUAUUCUUUUAAUUUUUGUUUUCUUUCUUCUGAUUUUAUAGCUAACCCACAAUGUGACACGUAUGUAUAUACCAAGUGACAUGUAUGUAUAUAAACCUUAAAUUGUUUAAGAUCUAUGUGGGCUGUGUUACUGCAUUAUGGGGAACAACAUUAACGAGUAUAUUUCAUGUCUGUUUCACAGCUAACUACUCUACUGUAUUUCCAGAUGGGCCGAUAUUUCCACAUGACAGAUACACAUCUCUUUUUCUCUUAAUUACUCCACCAAUCCUGAGUGUUAUAACUAUCAUUCAGGCCAACAGCAAAUACCCUCAUUUAUUUACUUUGAAAUAAUACAAUCCAGGGAAGAAAAAAAUCCUCAUUCGAACAUGGUAUUUUUUUGUUUUAGUAACAACUGGGUAUAUUUCUGAUUUGCAGCAAACCCUUACUCAAAAGAAGAAAUGAUUCAUCUUUACAUUCCACUUUUUAAGCAGCAGCACUGUUUCCAAGCUGCCACAGCUGUGACUUGCAAUGAGUAAGCUCUAUCCCCCGUACGGCUCAGCUUCUAAAUAUGUAAAGUGACAAAGCUAGAUCUAGGUUUAAGGAGACCAAAGAGAUGUAAACAUUAAUUUCAGGGCAGAAGACCUGAAUAUACAUUUUUCCAAAGAAGACAUAGAAAUGGCUAUUUGGCAUGUGAAAAGAUACUCAGCAUCACUAAUCACUGCAUGUGUGCUCAGCCACUUCAGUCGUUUCUGAGUCUU